UCUUGCUUCGUUAUGUAGAAAUAUGGUUAUCUAAGGACUACUUCCGAGGAAGAAAAAAUGCUCCUCGUGGUCAGAACCCAAACGACACCGCCCUCGCCCCUCUGUUGCCUUUCACCCUCACCCACUUCCCUUCCCCUUCUCUUCUUCCCUUUCUAGUUUACAAGCUCAAGCUAGAUUCCAGUUUCCCCCUUGUUUGUUAUUUCCAGUUUCUUGCUUCUGUUUGACCGAUGAUUCCGAGCUCGUCUAUCUAUUCAUGCUUGUUCCCACGUCGACUCCUAACAUUGCAGCAUUUCGACUACCGCAGCUUCCUUCACCUCAAGGUCUCUCUCCACUGUGAAAACGACAUCGUUUUUGUGAAAAUGCAGUGUUUGGCUUCCUGUAUAAAAUUAACAAACCAAACUGACUCGAUUCGGUCGAAUUCGAUUCGUUUUCUCUCUGAUUUUGGUUUGAUUUCCAUUUUAUAAAAUUUCUAUUAUUUAAUUUCUAACACACCAUUCGAGUCGAUGACCUGCCAGUCUGCAACUGGGAGAGUGAGGGCUAUAGUUGGCAACGGCUUGAUUCUAAACUUCAUAGCAAAAUCGAUUAUCACGCUCUAAAUUCUACUCUGCCUCUCUAUAAACUAUCAAAAACUGAGCAGAAGUCGAGAGAGAAAAGCCGCAAAAUGUACAAGACGAAGCUGCAGGAGCUGUGCCACCAGAGAGCAUGGGACCUGCCGGAUUACGCCACCUUGAAAGAAGGACCGGAUCACGAUCCUCGCUUUCAGGCCACCGUCACUGUCAAUGGCCUUUCCUUUCAUUCCCAAUCUCUGGCUAAAUCUUCUAAACAAGCCCAAAAUGACGCCGCGAAGUUUGCCUUCGAUCACUUCUCUUCCUCUGGCUCUUCUCCUCCUCCGCCUGUUUCUUCAAGCGCAAUCGCUGAUGUUAGUAGUAAUCUUUCCUCUGGAGGGACAUUACAAUUUAAAGCACAAGAAACAAAUCAAGUUUUUAGGGGGAAUGGGUCAGCUACAAUAGCUAAAAACGAUGAGAGAUUCGCAGUUUCUUCAAGUGCAAGCGGUGAUUUCAGUAGUGAUCUUUCCUCUGAAGGGAUAUUACAAUUUAAGGUACAAGAAGCAAAUCAAAUUCCUGAGGCGAAUGGGCCGGCUACAAUUGCUAAAAACGUUGAAAGAUUCACAGAUAUGCAGCAUUUGUACAAAAAUCAGUUGCAGAGCUAUGCUCAAAGGAGAAGUCUCACUCUCCCUGUGUAUUCUUAUGAACGUGUGGGUCCUCCUCAUGCAAGUCGCUUCAAGUGUAAGGUCACAAUUGAUGGGCAAACCUAUGAGAGUCAGGAGUUCUUUCCCACUUUAAGCAAGGCUGAACAUGCUGCUGCAAAAGCUGCAUUGAUGUCACUGGCACCGAAUGGAGUUGAAGAGGCUAGUCUUCUAUGAACUCAUAGUGCUUCUUAUCAUUUCCUCAUGGACAUUCAGUCAUUCACUAAUUAGAUGUUUUUUUGUGCAGACUUAUUUUGGUUGUAGUUGUUAUUUUAAUUUAUUCUCUUUUCUUUUUAGGAUGAAUCUGCUUACAAGAACCUUUUGCAAGAACUGGCUCAAAAAGAAUGUUAUCGAUUGCCAACUUAUAGUACAAUCAAAUCUGGUGAAGGUCAUAGACCAACUUUUGUUUCUACCGUAGAGGUAGAAGGAGAGUCGUUUACAGGGCAGGAAGCGAGAACUAAGAAGCAGGCGGAGUUGAGUGCAGCAAAGGUUGCUUACACAGCUUUAAAACAGCGUAUGUAUAUACGAAUAUUUUAUACAUAUAUGCAUUCAUAUAUUUAUAUUCUUUUGUGCUUAAUACGUCCAUUUAUUUGAUAUAUGAAUUUAUUUGGCUAUAUUAUCCAAAUUCUUGAUUUUAUAUCAACUAUUGUUUAAUUAGUACUCAAAUUAUCACUUUUAUAAUUGAUUAAAGUCUUAGUUUCUAGCUCUUUAAGAACUUAGAUGGCAAACUAACUGGAAUUCGAGUUUGUGAUCUUACUAAUACUAUGGUCUCUAUGGUUGGAAAGAAGGCAGAAGAAAGGAAAAGGGAGGGAAGAAGAGGCUGUUCCACAAUUAGGUCACAAGAAAGGCAUGGGAACUCAAGACAGAGCCUUAUGGUUUCUAGUUCUGGGGACUCAAGUCGUGGCCCUAUGGUUUCCUGCUUUGGAAACUCUAGUCAGAGCUCUAUGCCUUCCUGUUCUGGCAAUUCAAGGCAGAGCCCUGUGACUUCUUGUUCAGCAAAUUCAAGUCAGAGUGCUCCAUGCCUAACCCUUCCUCAGCAAGUACAAAAAGUUGUUCAGUUCACUUCUUCUAAUUUGAGGUCGAAUCUCACUGCUUAUCUUCAACAGAAUGUUCAACCUAGAUUGCCCGGGCAUGAUGAAAAGGCUGAAGAGGAUAGAGGUGAAUGUUUCAAAAGGCUCCUAUAACAUGCCCUCAUAUUAAUGAGAUGCUUAUAAUUUAAUAGUAUAGUGGUAAGGUUUUCUAUGACUUGCAUGACUUUACGUGAAUUCUGCAUAUUAUUUGACGUCUCAUAAUAUGGUCAAUAACUUUAACAGUAAUGGCAUGAAAAACUGAAAACGAAUGAGAUGUCAACUGAAUGAAACUUUAGCAUUCUUUUUCUCAAUACUCAUUAGUUGGUCACAUUGUAAGUGUAGUCAGAUGCAAGUGCUGUUCAUGUCAGAACCCUUUUCUUAAAAUUAUUCUUUCAGAUAUGUGCAUAUGGUUAAUAUAUUCAAUACAUGUGAAACAUCUUUUGAUCUUACAAUCAAAUUGCAUCUAUAUGUCAUUUAAUACAUCAAUGCAUUCAAGUCUCAAACCAUUAUGUUCUGUAUUGUUCACAGCGACUACUGAUGUUGUCAGUCGUGAUCCUCCCAUUGUGUCUCCAGGAACGGAAAGCAGCUCAAUUGUGAAUAAAAUUUCAUCUUCACCUGGCCCAACCACAACUUCUUUGCCUGAAUCUUCAUUCUCCUCACUUUCUCAUUCCCCCACCAAUUCAGCUGUAAGUACGGAGCAUGUGGUUGGAACGAAUAUUUCAUGCCACAAUAAGGUUAUUCUUCAUCCACGCGGGACAAACAUGACAUAUCCUCCAGGCAGCAUCGUGUUGUCCAUGAGCGAUGACAACUGGGUUGCUGUGCAGACAUCGCAAUCCAGCAAGUAAAAUCUAACAGAGCCCAAAAGAAUCCGUUGCCCUUGAGUUUGUCACCUAUUGAAGGGUACUUUGGAUACAAACUAAAUUCAGCUUUACUGAAUGUGUUGAAGAUGAGAGGAUCAAACAGAACCAGAAUUAGAAAUGAGAACAACAUCAACAUAGAAGAAAGAGGAGAGACUUAAAUCAAGUGGAAGUGGACUUUUCUCUUUUUUAUUUCAUACGUAAAAAAUGCUUUUUACAUUUUCAGCUUCAUACAUUUAUUUACAUUUACAGUACAUCUUCUAGAGAUUUCAGAAAAUUUUAGCUAACAGAUCACAGCCUUACACCUGGUAACAAAAGAGUGGCUGAGUUAGAAU
RNAcentral lists this unclassified non-coding RNA (3508 nucleotides) under Hevea brasiliensis (rubber tree). Lineage: Eukaryota; Viridiplantae; Streptophyta; Magnoliopsida; Malpighiales; Euphorbiaceae. The record is from RNAcentral.